GUGGCUCAGUGGUAGAGUGCUUGCCUUGAGCGCAUGAGGCCCUGGGUUCAAUUCCUCAGC
Molecule: transfer RNA, 60 nt
Filed under: Dipodomys ordii (Ord's kangaroo rat)
Lineage: Eukaryota; Metazoa; Chordata; Mammalia; Rodentia; Heteromyidae
Rfam family: tRNA
About the family: Transfer RNA (tRNA) molecules are approximately 80 nucleotides in length. Their secondary structure includes four short double-helical elements and three loops (D, anti-codon, and T loops). Further hydrogen bonds mediate the characteristic L-shaped molecular structure. tRNAs have two regions of fundamental functional importance: the anti-codon, which is responsible for specific mRNA codon recognition, and the 3' end, to which the tRNAs corresponding amino acid is attached (by aminoacyl-tRNA synthetases). tRNAs cope with the degeneracy of the genetic code in two manners: having more than one tRNA (with a specific anti-codon) for a particular amino acid; and 'wobble' base-pairing, i.e. permitting non-standard base-pairing at the 3rd anti-codon position.
Source: Rfam by way of RNAcentral